RNAcentral lists this ribosomal RNA (264 nucleotides) under uncultured bacterium. RNAcentral's name for it is "partial 16S ribosomal RNA". It matches the Rfam family "Bacterial small subunit ribosomal RNA", at positions 336 to 592 of the family's 1533-position model. The record is from RNAcentral.
UUCCUACGGGACGCAGCAGUAGGGAAUCUUCCACAAUGGGCGAAAGCCUGAUGGAGCAACGCCGCGUGGGUGAAGAAGGUCUUCGGAUCGUAAAACCCUGUUGUUAGAGAAGAAAGUGCGUGAGAGUAACUGUUCACGUUUCGACGGUAUCUAACCAGAAAGCCACGGCUAACUACGUGCCCGCAGCCGCGGUAAUACGUAGGUGGCAAGAGUUAUCCGGAAUGAUUGGGCGUAAAUGGUGCGCAGGCGGAACCAUAAGUCUGA